Molecule: transfer-messenger RNA, 388 nt
Filed under: Candidatus Ichthyocystis hellenicum
Lineage: Bacteria; Pseudomonadati; Pseudomonadota; Betaproteobacteria; Burkholderiales
Description: Ichthyocystis hellenicum Standard tmRNA
Rfam family: transfer-messenger RNA
About the family: Bacterial tmRNA, also known as 10Sa RNA or SsrA, is named for its dual tRNA and mRNA-like properties. Its role is to liberate the mRNA from a stalled ribosome.
Source: Rfam by way of RNAcentral
GGGGACGACCUGGUUUCGACGUGGGUUGCAGAGCAGUUGAGGGCAUGUCGUGGGCCGGUUAUCCACGUAAAUACAGCCGGAAGGCAAAUAUAACUGCCAACGAUGAAACCUUUAGUAUUAGUGAGGAACUUGCCGCUUAAUAACCGGUGUUCCUUCCGCUGCACCGCUUUGCGCAUGGGGUGGGUGUGUGGAAACAUGCACAGCAGUGUCAUAUUAGUGCGAUAAGGUGGGCUGAAUCUGUGGCGGCUCUUCCCGACAAUUUAGCAGAUAGCGUGUUCCAGCGUUUGCGCGCCGGUGCUGGGCAUGUGACCUUAACGGCGUUGCUAAGCAUGUAGAUCUUGCUGUAAAGUGCUUGCGGACGGCGGUUCGAUUCCGCCCGUCUCCACCA